AUCUUUUUAGUAUACUUAGUACAUUUAAUUUCCAAUUAAAAAGAUUUAUUUUUUUAAAAAGGUA
Molecule: transfer RNA, 64 nt
Filed under: Coleolaelaps cf. liui XFX-2019
Lineage: Eukaryota; Metazoa; Arthropoda; Arachnida; Mesostigmata; Laelapidae
Description: tRNA-Gly
Source: RNAcentral